This 642-nucleotide ribosomal RNA is filed under the name uncultured bacterium. RNAcentral's name for it is "bacterial SSU rRNA". It matches the Rfam family "Bacterial small subunit ribosomal RNA", at positions 143 to 803 of the family's 1533-position model. The record is from RNAcentral.
AUAACAGCUGGAAACGGCUGCUAAUACCGCAUAAGCGCACAGAGCUGCAUGGCUCGGUGUGAAAAACUCCGGUGGUAUGGGAUGGGCCCGCGUCUGAUUAGGCAGUUGGCGGGGUAACGGCCCACCAAACCGACGAUCAGUAGCCGGCCUGAGAGGGCGACCGGCCACAUUGGGACUGAGACACGGCCCAAACUCCUACGGGAGGCAGCAGUGGGGAAUAUUGCACAAUGGGGGAAACCCUGAUGCAGCGACGCCGCGUGAGCGAAGAAGUAUUUCGGUAUGUAAAGCUCUAUCAGCAGGGAAGAUAAUGACGGUACCUGACUAAGAAGCCCCGGCUAACUACGUGCCAGCAGCCGCGGUAAUACGUAGGGGGCAAGCGUUAUCCGGAUUUACUGGGUGUAAAGGGAGCGUAGACGGCAAGGCAAGUCUGAUGUGAAAACCCAGGGCUUAACCCUGGGACUGCAUUGGAAACUGUCUGGCUCGAGUGCCGGAGAGGUAAGCGGAAUUCCUAGUGUAGCGGUGAAAUGCGUAGAUAUUAGGAAGAACACCAGUGGCGAAGGCGGCUUACUGGACGGUAACUGACGUUGAGGCUCGAAAGCGUGGGGAGCAAACAGGAUUAGACACCCUGGUAGUCCACGCCGU